AGUGAACGCUGGCGGUAGGCCUAACACAUGCAAGUCGAACGGCAGCACAGUAAGAGCUUGCUCUUACGGGUGGCGAGUGGCGGACGGGUGAGGAAUACAUCGGAAUCUACUUUUUCGUGGGGGAUAACGUAGGGAAACUUACGCUAAUACCGCAUACGACCUACGGGUGAAAGCAGGGGAUCUUCGGACCUUGCGCGAUUGAAUGAGCCGAUGUCGGAUUAGCCAGUUGGCGGGGUAAAGGCCCACCAAGGCGACGAUCCGUAGCUGGUCUGAGAGGAUGAUCAGCCACACUGGAACUGAGACACGGUCCAGACUCCUACGGGAGGCAGCAGUGGGGAAUAUUGGACAAUGGGCGCAAGCCUGAUCCAGCCAUACCGCGUGGGUGAAGAAGGCCUUCGGGUUGUAAAGCCCUUUUGUUGGGAAAGAAAAGCAGCAGGUUAAUACCCCGCUGUUCUGACGGUACCCAAACAAUAAGCACCGGCUAACUUCGUG
This 492-nucleotide ribosomal RNA is filed under the name uncultured bacterium. RNAcentral's name for it is "partial 16S ribosomal RNA". It matches the Rfam family "Bacterial small subunit ribosomal RNA", at positions 29 to 507 of the family's 1533-position model. The record is from RNAcentral.